UACGUAGGGCGCAAGCGUUGUCCGGAAUUAUUGGGCGUAAAGAGCUCGUAGGCGGUUUGUUGCGUCUGCCGUGAAAUCCCGAGGCUUAACCUUGGGUCUGCGGUGGAUACGGGCAGGCUAGAGGUAGGUAGGGGAGAAUGGAAUUCCCGGUGUAGCGGUGAAAUGCGCAGAUAUCGGGAGGAACACCGGUGGCGAAGGCGGUUCUCUGGGCCUUACCUGACGCUGAGGAGCGAAAGCGUGGGGAGCGAACAGG
This 253-nucleotide ribosomal RNA is filed under the name uncultured Actinoallomurus sp. RNAcentral's name for it is "partial 16S ribosomal RNA". It matches the Rfam family "Bacterial small subunit ribosomal RNA", at positions 524 to 776 of the family's 1533-position model. The record is from RNAcentral. Lineage: Bacteria; Bacillati; Actinomycetota; Actinomycetes; Streptosporangiales; Thermomonosporaceae.